GACGAACGCUGGCGGCGUGCUUAACACAUGCAAGUCGAGCGGUAAGGCCCCUUCGGGGGUACACGAGCGGCGAACGGGUGAGUAACAAGUGAGCAAUCUGCCCAUCACAUCGGGAUAACUCCGGGAAACCGAAGCUAAUACCGAAUACGACCACCUCCGGCAUCGGAUGGUGGUGGAAAGUUCCGGCGGUGAUGGAUGAGCUCGCGGCCUAUCAGCUUGUUGGUGGGGUAACGGCCCACCAAGGCUUCGACGGGUAGCCGGCCUGAGAGGGUGACCGGCCACACUGGGACUGAGACACGGCCCAGACUCCUACGGGAGGCAGCAGUGGGGAAUAUUGGACAAUGGGCGAAAGCCUGAUCCAGCAACGCCGCGUGAGGGAUGACGGCCUUCGGGUUGUAAACCUCUUUCAGCAGGGACGAAGCGCAAGUGACGGUACCUGCAGAAGAAGCACCGGCCAACUACGUG
This 465-nucleotide ribosomal RNA is filed under the name uncultured bacterium. Its description in RNAcentral is "partial 16S ribosomal RNA". It matches the Rfam family "Bacterial small subunit ribosomal RNA", at positions 28 to 507 of the family's 1533-position model. The record is from RNAcentral.